RNAcentral lists this long non-coding RNA (950 nucleotides) under Homo sapiens (human). Its description in RNAcentral is "non-protein coding lnc-MTRNR2L4-1:1". Lineage: Eukaryota; Metazoa; Chordata; Mammalia; Primates; Hominidae. The record is from RNAcentral.
UAUGCCUAUAAUCAAUCUUCUCCUACUUAUUAUUACCACUUUAAUCGCUAUAGUAUUCCUUACACUCAUUGAAUGAAAACUCUUAGGCUACAUACAAUUACGCAAAGGACCUAACAUUGUAGGUCCCCAUGGACUGCUUCAACCAUUCGCUGAUGCAAUAAAACUUUUCGUCAAAGAACCCUUACGUCCCUCAGCGUCUACUAUUACCUUUUAUACUACUGCUCCAACCCUAGCUGUUUUGAUCGCUCUCCUCUUGUGAACUCCCCUCCGCAUACCAGAUGCUCUAAUUAAUUUUAAUAUAGGCCUCCUAUUUAUACUAGCCACAUCAAGCCUAGCCAUCUACUCUAUCCUAUGAUCAGGAUGAGCAUCUAAUUCAAAUUACACACUAAUCGGCACAUUACAAGCUGUAGCCCAGACAAUUUCAUAUCAAGUCACUCUAGCCAUUAUCCUUUUAUCAGUUCUACUAAUAAGUGGCUCAUUUAACUUACAUGCAUUUAUCACAACGCAAGAAUUCCUCUGACUGCUUCUACCAUCAUAACCCCUAGCCAUAAUAUGAUUUAUCUCCACACUAGCAGAAACAAACCGAGCCCCUUUUGAACUAACAGAAGGAGAAUCAGAGUCAGUCUCAGGCUUUAACAUCGAAUAUGCCACAGGUUCAUUUGCCCUCUUCUUUAUAGCAGAAUAUAUGAAUAUUAUCGUAAUAAAUGACUUAACUAUUACCAUUUUUCUAGGAGCACUACACACUAUAUAUUCACCAGAACUCUAUACCACAAAUUUCAUUACCAAGACCUUUCUUUAACCACCCUGUUUUUAUGAAUUCAAACAGCAUAUCUCCAAUUCCGCUAUGACCAACUUAUAUAUCUUCUAUGAAAAAAUUUCCUACCGCUUACACUAGCACUCUGCAUAUGAUGUAUCUCAAUGCCUAUUCUAAUUUCCAGCAUCCCACCCCA